RNAcentral lists this ribosomal RNA (841 nucleotides) under Gaeumannomyces glycinicola. RNAcentral describes it as "eukaryotic LSU rRNA". It matches the Rfam family "Eukaryotic large subunit ribosomal RNA", at positions 40 to 911 of the family's 3401-position model. The record is from RNAcentral. Lineage: Eukaryota; Fungi; Ascomycota; Sordariomycetes; Magnaporthales; Magnaporthaceae.
AUAUCAAUAAGCGGAGGAAAAGAAACCAACAGGGAUUGCCCUAGUAACGGCGAGUGAAGCGGCAACAGCUCAAAUUUGAAAUCUGGCCCUAGGCCCGAGUUGUAAUUUGCAGAGGAUGCUUUUGGCAAAGCGCUUACCGAGUCCCCUGGAACGGGGCGCCACAGAGGGUGAGAGCCCCGUAUGGUAUGACGCCGAGCCUCUGUAAAGCUCCUUCGACGAGUCGAGUAGUUUGGGAAUGCUGCUCUAAAUGGGAGGUAAAUUUCUUCUAAAGCUAAAUACCGGCCAGAGACCGAUAGCGCACAAGUAGAGUGAUCGAAAGAUGAAAAGCACUUUGAAAAGAGGGUUAAAUAGCACGUGAAAUUGUUGAAAGGGAAGCGCUCGUGACCAGACUUGCGCCGGGCGGAUCAUCCAGCGUUCUCGCUGGUGCACUCCGCCCGGCUCAGGCCAGCAUCGGUUUUCGCCGGGGGACAAAAGCUUCGGGAACGUGGCUCCCUUCGGGGAGUGUUAUAGCCCGUUGCUUAAUACCCCGGCGGGGACCGAGGACCGCGCUUCGGCAAGGAUGCUGGCGUAAUGGUCAUCAGCGACCCGUCUUGAAACACGGACCGAGGAGUCAAGCAUUAGUGCGAGUGUUUGGGUGUAAAACCCGCACGCGUAAUGAAAGUGAACGUAGGUGAGAGCUUCGGCGCAUCAUCGACCGAUCCUGAUGUUUUCGGAUGGAUUUGAGUAGGAGCAUUAACGCUUGGACCCGAAAGAUGGUGAACUAUACUUGAAUAGGGUGAAGCCAGAGGAAACUCUGGUGGAGGCUCGCAGCGGUUCUGACGUGCAAAUCGAUCGUCAAAUU